CAGUAGCCGCGGUAAUACAGAGGGUGCGAGCGUUAAUCGGAUUUACUGGGCGUAAAGCGUGCGUAGGCGGCUUUUUAAGUCGGAUGUGAAAUCCCUGAGCUUAACUUAGGAAUUGCAUUCGAUUCUGGGAAGCUAGAGUAUGGGAGAGGAUGGUAGAAUUCCAGGUGUAGCGGUGAAAUGCGUAGAGAUCUGGAGGAAUACCGAUGGCGAAGGCAGCCAUCUGGCCUAAUACUGACGCUGAGGUACGAAAGCAUGGGGAGCAAACAGGAUUAGAUACCCGCGUAGUCCCUGUCUCUUAUAC
RNAcentral lists this ribosomal RNA (301 nucleotides) under uncultured bacterium. RNAcentral describes it as "partial 16S ribosomal RNA". It matches the Rfam family "Bacterial small subunit ribosomal RNA", at positions 509 to 807 of the family's 1533-position model. The record is from RNAcentral.